RNAcentral lists this long non-coding RNA (488 nucleotides) under Homo sapiens (human). RNAcentral's name for it is "non-protein coding lnc-CNIH3-2:7". Lineage: Eukaryota; Metazoa; Chordata; Mammalia; Primates; Hominidae. The record is from RNAcentral.
UUACAGGCAUGAGCCACUGUGCCCGGCCAAAGAUUCCCCCUGUCUUUUUGACACUCUUCAGCUGUGCCCUCCCAGGGAAGACAUUAGCUCACUCUGCAGCCACUUGUGCCAUUCUCGUGCCCUCCUUGCACAAGGCCUUGUCGUAACUGCUUCACUCUCCUGGUCUGCCAGUGCAGGUAUCAGUGAUCCAAGAAGAUACAGGAAGAGGCUUGUGUGGGAGUCGCCUGGAGCCCUCCAUGACAUCAUGUGACCUUGAGGAUGGAUGUCACAUGCUGGAGGAAACAGAAGGCCGAAACCCUGAUGACUUCACAGAGCUGCCAAAACAGUUCCUGACUGUUUAUUCCGGGUCUUUAACAAAGUGAUGAAAAGAAAUCCUUGCAGUAUGAAAACAACUUUUCUAUUCCAUGGAGCCAAACCUCAUUAUAACAGAUAACGUGACCCUCAGCGAUAUCCCAAGUAUUUUCCUGUUCUCAUCUAUACUAUGGCAA